UGGGGAAUAUUGCACAAUGGGCGAAAGCCUGAUGCAGCAACCCCGCGUGAAGGAAGAAGGCCUUCGGGUCCUAAACUUCUGUCCUAUGGGAAGAAAAAAAUGACGGUACCCUAGGAGGAAGCCCCGGCUAACUACGUGCCAGCAGCCGCGGUAAUACGUAGGGGGCGAGCGUUAUCCGGAAUUAUUGGGCGUAAAGAGUGCGUAGGUGGUAACUUAAGCGCGGGGUUUAAGGCAAUGGCUUAACCAUUGUUCGCCCUGCGAACUGGGAUACUUGAGUGCAGGAGAGGAAAGCGGAAUUCCUAGUGUAGCGGUGAAAUGCGUAGAUAUUAGGAGGAACACCAGUGGCGAAGGCGGCUUUCUGGACUGAAACUGACACUGAGGCACGAAAGUGUGGGGAGCAAACAGGAUUAGAUACCCUGGUAGUCCACACUGUAAACGAUGAUAACUAGGUGUGGGGGGUCUGACCCCUUCCGUGCCGCAGCUAACGCAAUAAGUUAUCCACCUGGGGAGUACGACCGCAAGGUUGAAACUCAAAGGAAUUGACGGGGACCCGCACAAGCAGUGGAUUAUGUGGUUUAAUUCGAAGCAACGCGAAGAACCUUACCAGCACUUGACAUCCGACUAACGAAGUAGAGAUACAUUAGGUGCCCUUCGGGGAAAGUCGAGACAGGUGGUGCAUGGUUGUCGUCAGCUCGUGUCGUGAGAUGUUGGGUUAAGUCCCGCAACGAGCGCAACCCCUGCCAUUAGUUGCUACGCAAGAGCACUCUAAUGGGACCGCUACCGACAAGGUGGAGGAAGGUGGGGACGACGUCAAAUCAUCAUGCCCCUUAUGUGCUGGGCUACACACGUAAUACAAUGGCCAUCAACAAAGAGAAGCAAUACCGCGAGGUGGAGCAAAACUUCAAAAAUGGUCUCAGUUCGGACUGCAGGCUGCAACCCGCCUGCACGAAGUUGGAAUUGCUAGUAAUCGUGGAUCAGCAUGCCACGGUGAAUACGUUCCC
RNAcentral lists this ribosomal RNA (1001 nucleotides) under uncultured bacterium. RNAcentral describes it as "bacterial SSU rRNA". It matches the Rfam family "Bacterial small subunit ribosomal RNA", at positions 355 to 1375 of the family's 1533-position model. The record is from RNAcentral.